AACGAACGCUGGCGGCAGGCUUAACACAUGCAAGUCGAACGAUGUAGCAAUACAUAGUGGCGCACGGGUGAGUAACGCGUGGGAAUAUACCUUAUAGUGGGGAAUAACUUUGGGAAACUAAAGCUAAUACCGCAUACGCCCGAGGGGGGAAAGAUUUAUCGCUAUAAGAUUAGCCCGCGUGAGAUUAGGUAGUUGGUGGGGUAAUGGCCUACCAAGCCUACGAUCUCUAGCUGGUCUGAGAGGAUGAUCAGCCACACUGGAACUGAGACACGGUCCAGACUCCUACGGGAGGCGGCAGUGGGGAAUAUUGGGCAAUGGAGGAAACUCUGACCCAGCCAUGCCGCGUGAAUGAUGAAGGCCUUAGGGUUGUAAAGUUCUUUCGCCGAUGAAGAUAAUGACGGUAGUCGGAGAAGAAGCCCCGGCUAACUUCGUGCCAGCCGCCGCGGUAA
RNAcentral lists this ribosomal RNA (449 nucleotides) under uncultured bacterium. RNAcentral's name for it is "partial 16S ribosomal RNA". It matches the Rfam family "Bacterial small subunit ribosomal RNA", at positions 29 to 523 of the family's 1533-position model. The record is from RNAcentral.